This is a non-coding RNA of Schizosaccharomyces pombe (fission yeast), 72 nucleotides long. NCBI's taxonomy places the organism in Eukaryota, Fungi, Ascomycota, Schizosaccharomycetes, Schizosaccharomycetales, Schizosaccharomycetaceae. The record is from Rfam.
AGUCCCGUGUUCUAGUGGUAUGAUUUCUCCUUCACACGGAGAAGGUCCCGGGUUCGAUCCCCGGCGGGACUA